AAAAAAAAAAAAAAAAAAAAAAAAAAAAAAAAAAAAAAAACAGGGUAGAAAUGAAUUUUUUUAAUAAACAAAGCAUAUGAGGCAUAAUUUCAUCUAGAAUAUUAAGUUCUUUUGGGGAUAGACCAUACGAGGAUAGUCCUCAGUUUCGAAUAUAGCGAAAGAAUAGAGAUAAAUGAGUAAAUUUUAUUAAUUUCAUUAUUACCUAAAAUAUUAAUUAUCACUUCAGAUGUAUGUAUUUACAUUACUCUCAUAAGAUUAUUACUAUUAAAUAUUAAAUAUAUUAGCAAGCAUUUAUUAUCAUUUUAAUAUGAUAUGGAUAUUUAUUUUUCA
This 330-nucleotide long non-coding RNA is filed under the name Ricinus communis (castor bean). Its description in RNAcentral is "long non-coding RNA (RCOM_LNC001651)". The record is from RNAcentral. Lineage: Eukaryota; Viridiplantae; Streptophyta; Magnoliopsida; Malpighiales; Euphorbiaceae.